UUUUUUAUGGCUGAGUUUAAGUGAUAGAUUUUUAAUCUAUUUACGGGCGAUGGCCCUAUUGCGA
RNAcentral lists this transfer RNA (64 nucleotides) under Cerion tridentatum costellata. RNAcentral's name for it is "tRNA-Lys". Lineage: Eukaryota; Metazoa; Mollusca; Gastropoda; Stylommatophora; Cerionidae. The record is from RNAcentral.